Molecule: long non-coding RNA, 2044 nt
Organism: Paramisgurnus dabryanus
Lineage: Eukaryota; Metazoa; Chordata; Actinopteri; Cypriniformes; Cobitidae
Source: RefSeq, a predicted model, not a curated record
UUAGAUAUCACAUACCCUGAUAUAAGCAGGUUUGUAAGAUGCCGCUGGUGUGUUGAAGCCUUUCCGUGCGUCAUUGCCAGGGAUCGCCCCUUCCGUUUCGCUCCUCCCGCUUCCGCAUUUGCCCUGUUUCUUUGCAGCUCUUGGAUCAUUCGUGUUGAUUAUCAUUUGUGACUGUUCCUGUAUCUAACCUUCCUCGGCGUAAUCUCGUGCCGGCCGCCGCUCUUGCGUGCACGCGAUCAGUGAAGACAUUCUAAGCUCUGGGAUGGCUCGUGAAUAAUUACUAUUCGUGGCUGCUCCUGCAUGUUCUCCUGUGUAAACUUGUGCUGGCUGCUGCGAUUGGGUGUGUGCGCUAUCGCAGUGACGUUGAAGGAGGAAUAUUUGGAUUUGGGACUAUGAUUAGCUGGCAACUAUUUAUGAUGAUGCUGCUGCUUUGUCUGUGAUUGUUCUACGAUGCAAUUUUAAAGCUUUUUGCAUCAACGUUGUGUGACGUUGGGGACAGAGUGGACGCUAAGGCGUCGGUUAAAGCCCGUCACAUAAAUGUAUAAUUGGGCCUUUUUUGGUUAAAUCUGUUUAUUCAUUUAUUUGUAUUUCUUAUGUUUUCUACCUGCUUUGGUUGUAAAUUGUCCUGCACCAUUAAUCUGAUCUUCAGGUGCAUUUCCCCAGUUGGCUGGACUUUUGAUCUUAAUGCAGGUAGCUUUUGUGGUUCCUUUGUUUAAUACUUAUUUAUUUUGAAUUAUUUUGUGGUAUUUAUGUAGUUUGGUAUUUGUUUAUUUGUAAGUAUUUGUUUUAUUUUGUUUAUUUGGUUGGUGUAUUGAAUUUCAUUUGUUUUCUUUAUGUACUUGCCCCAGUUACUUAUUUUGUAUGUGGUCUAGCAUUUGAUAAUAGCUGUGAGUUUGGAGGUACAUUUCUUCAUUCUGCUAAGACCUCAUUUCUGUAGCUGGGUUAUUUUGUGGUUUAGUAGUUUUCUUUGGAAAAUCUUUUCUUUGUUUAUUUUAUUUAGGUUUCUCAUACUAAAUCUUUUUUUUUGUUUGGUUCAUUAUUCCUUUGUUACAGGAGCCGAGGCUGCCGGCUGUCCAUUAGUAGGCCUCGAGUACGGUGGUGGGACUUCCGGAGUGCAGUGUGUUCACCAUUGAUGCCUGUGUGUGUAGUGUGGUGAGAGUGGAGCACCGGGUGUUUAAGGUUGCAGUGAUACCGGGGCUGUGUGCUCCUUAAUUAAUUUGGACUACCAUAGGCAUGCCUCGGUCUCCUUCAUAGUAACUCUUAGAUUUUCUAGCCUGAUGCCAUCGUACAUAAUUGAUUUUAAGAUUCCUGUUUUAAUAUAAUAAAGUUUUGUAUUUUUUGGUAUCCAUGUCUCAAGACCCCUUCUUGUGAAGCAGUGUUCCUGUGAGCUUUUUUUCAAUAAAAUUGAUUUAUAUUAUAUUAUAUUAUUUCCCUGUUCUACAGGGUGGCGUAGUCAGCUACAUUGUAAAAUGUUUUCCCUUUUGGGCCUACCACUACAUUCUGGCGUAGUCGGCAGGGCCGCUUCUCCAUAGUGGGACGAGACGUGGAUACUUUUGGUUAUUUGAGUGGAUGUUUAUCAUUGUGUAUGUUGAGUGUAUGUGAAUUAGUGGAACGUUGUGUUUUUGUGUUUGCUCUUUUUCUGUGUGUUUGCUCUUUUUCAGUUCACGUUGGAGACAAAGCAGCAGUGUCAUUGUGGUAGCUGGGAGCACUCCAGUAAAAUUUUCUUCGCUGAUUACCUGAAUUAAGGUCAUUGGAGCCGAGGCUGCCGGCUGUCCAUUAGUAGGCCUCGAGUACGGUGGUGGGACUUCCGGAGUGCAGUGUGUUCACCAUUGAUGCCUGUGUGUGUAGUGUGGUGAGAGUGGAGCACCGGGUGUUUAAGGUUGCAGUGAUACCGGGGCUGUGUGCUCCUUAAUUAAUUUGGACUACCAUAGGCAUGCCUCGGUCUCCUUCAUAGUAACUCUUAGAUUUUCUAGCCUGAUGCCAUCGUACAUAAUUGAUUUUAAGAUUCCUGUUUUAAUAUAAUAAAGUUUUGUAUUUUUUGGUA